UCAUGUUAAAAAUAAGUUGAGGAUUUACACAUGUAGAGUUAAAAGUAUCCACAAGUCUAUUUGUAUCUGGCUAUGGGAAACUGUUUUAACAUUCAUUCGCUAUUUAAUAUAUCUUGAUUGAUAUUAGAUAUAUUUACUAGCUAUACAAGACAUCUGAAUUCAUAAAGAAAUCUUUAAAAUAGUACAUCAGAUAUAAAUUCGUUAACUCAGUGAUUAUAUAUCUGAAUUCUUAUAAAAACAUCUCAUGUAUAGUACAUGUUAUAUGUUAUAGGUUAUGUUUAUUUAGACAUCUGAAUUAAUAUGUUUUAAGAUAUGCCUUACAGGAUUUUCGAAUAUAUUAUAUUAUUGUAAUUCAAGUAUAUGAUAUAUUGUAGAUGUCUUAAAUAGCAAAUAAGUCCGGAAACGGCUUAACUUGUCACAUAUAACACCCUUUGAUAUUAAGAUUAAAGAAUAUAACAAAUAAAAAUAAAAACUUUUUGUCAUUCUACAAUAACAUGGUGAUGUUUCAUCAACCGAGAUAAACUAAGCAAACAGAAAAUGUUCUAUCAUUUUAAAAUAAAUAGCUGUACCUUCAGCUCAUGGUCAUAAUAUGACCGU
Molecule: long non-coding RNA, 597 nt
Filed under: Mytilus galloprovincialis (Mediterranean mussel)
Lineage: Eukaryota; Metazoa; Mollusca; Bivalvia; Mytilida; Mytilidae
Source: RNAcentral